CGAGUUUUUUAUGCAAUCGAGUUGUGAGUGGUUCCUCCCUACCUCUCCCGUCGCACCUCGCCCUCUCCCUUGCCCUGCCCCAGAUCUCGGCCUCCAGUCCUCGCUGCCGCCGCGACUUGCUCGCCCCGUCUCCCUCCGGCCCUGCCUCAUCGCGGCCGUGGUGGCCAAGGAACACGAGCUCAUUGGAAACACUCUUAAAUAAAGCUUCAAUGAACAAGACAGGAGCUCGACUUCGCCUAGCUCCGAACAAGCGGUUGACGAGGCGGAGGUCUCGCGUCCUACGUGCGUCGCGCCGUUGCCUGGCUCCGUCCUCGCCGUUCCUCUGUAGAAGCUGGCCGCUGACCCCCGCCCGCCUCCGCUUGGCCGUCUGGCCGCCCCCCGCGUGGUCACCUAGAUGGCUGGCCGCGCCCCUAGAUUUGGGUUCCUACCUUGUUAGGACUUCCAUCUUCGUUCAUUUUGCUGUGUGUCCGUCGGAUAGAUGACUAAUGCAUCCUCAAAGUUCUCCAAGGCGGAGCCUUGCAUCUUUGUGUGUUUGAUUUGGUUGAGCUGCAACCCGUGCUGCUGUCCUUUUCAGUAUAAAAAAAGAUUUAGAUGUAGGUUGGCAUUCGGAUGAAAAAUGGACCGUGAAAAAAAAGGAGGUCCAUUCACCUUGUGUUCUGUCAUUUGAGCACGGAUCCUUUAGUGUAUAGGAAAGCGUGAUAUUUCUGAUAAUCUUCUGCUUUUCAGAGAAAAGCUUUGAGUAAUUGAGAUGUAUAUUCCUCUAUUGAAAGAAAAAGAGGGGUUUUCAAGCAAUAUGAAAGCUUGAUGCUUUCGUUCUUCGUUUUAUUUAAGAUCACUUUCCUCCCUUGUUCUUAUGAAAUGUGCAACUCUUUAAUCAGGGAUGGCAACCGAUAGUGAAGCCUCGAAGGCAGCUGAGGUUGUGGUUGACUGGCAUAAACAGGACAGCAAGAGGAUGCUCCAUGCAGUUUACCGUGUUGGGGAUCUGGACCGCACAAUCAAGUACUACACAGAAUGCUUUGGGAUGAAACUGCUGAGGAAAAGGGAUGUUCCUGAUGAGAAGUACACCAACGCCUUCCUUGGCUUUGGGCCAGAGAACACCAACUUUGCAGUUGAAUUGACCAACUUUGCGGAGGUCUCGCGUCCUACGUGCGUCGCGCCGUUGCCUGGCUCCGUCCUCGCCGUUCCUCUGUAGAAGCUGGCCGCUGACCCCCGCCGUGGUGGCCGUCGCGCCGUUUUUUAUUAGAUGAAGAAUGAAUCAACCCUUGUAGAAGCUAAAGAUAGAAGAUAACACUACUCUGUUUUUGAAUGUCUGAAGUGUAAUUUUGCAGCCUUGCAACUAUAAAACAAACAAUGUAUGGCUAAAUUAUUGCAGUUGCACAGUGUGAAGAUUUAAAAUUGAAGUGCUAUGAAGAGAUGGAUAAGAGGAAGAAACUUUAUAAUAUUGUUCAAGAGACAAAAGGAAAUUAUCAGGGUUUUUUGUCGAUGCCGACCCUUAAGCAAAAAUGAGGUGUCAUCAGGCCUGAAUGCAAAUGGCGGAACAACUAAAAAGACAUUUAAGUUUGAUAGAGUAUUCACGCCGAAGGAUGAUCAAGGUGUGGGCGUCUCCGGCGGCCCGACUAUACGAAGCGAGGGCGUAUCGGGGCUAAGGACACGAAAGGCCAAGCGCAAAGGGCGUACGGCAGUAAGCCCGCCUGCACCGCACCAGACCGCCACCCGCGACGUGCCCAUGUCAUGACGCCACGGUGGCGGCACGCUGACCCAUCGACGUCACCCUCUUCCUCGCUUCCGCUCGACAGCCUCCAGUUUCCUGGUCAGUCUUCGUGCCGCCUCUCUACCACACACCGUCUCUCAGGUAUGUACUAUAUUGAGUAAAUACAUUUGUACUAUAAUAGGUUACUCAGACCUUAUAAUUUUAGAGAAGGAAGCUGGUGAUGAGCUGAUCAAAUUUCUCUAGAGAAGCAUUAAAACAAAUGGUUCCAGUGACAGUGGGGAGCUUGAAGUAUUCCAUAUGUCUGCUCUUAAAUUGGGAAUUACAUCUUUUAGGGCAGCACUCACUGAUAGAAGAGCCCUUAAGAAGAUAAUUCAGAACGGCCAUUUUAAGAUAAAAGAUGUCGGUGAAAUUGUACCACUUGUUAGAAACUGGGGUUUAAGAUAAAAUUGCAGCUAGAUAUGAUUGUAGUGAGUGCUUUGAGGAAAUCAUGGAGGGCUAAUUACAGUUACUUACAGGUACAUCCUACCUGGAGCUUUAAAAAUUGUGUUUCAUCGCCCAUUGAUCAAUAUUAUCCAUCGGGUUAUCAACGUCAUCCGAGCCUGUCCAGUCAGGUUAACAGUGUGGCUAAGUCAUAUGAAAAAAUAUAACUCAAAAGAUAACCCCAGUUUCUUGCAAUAUUACCUUCCUGUGUAUGUUCUAGGUAUAAUACCUGACUUUGGUAAUACAUAGUUAUUCUGUUUUAACUGAAAUAGUUUGUCGAUUUUUGCGUGGGAACAACAAAUACAUGAUGGUACCCCUUCCAUCCAAAAAAUGCAAGGCCUCUAUUUGACAAACAGUCGAACUCUUAGUAGAGGCGGUCCAGAGGUCGUUAGUGGAUAGUCAAGAAGAGAUUCACAGUUGAUGUCGAACAAAUAAAGGAAUCCAAUAAACUUACUGCAACAUUGAGAAGGGAAAAUCCUACAUCAGCUACAUGUAUAAUCGAAUUAUUUGUAUAAACAAGAUAGGUACAGGCAGAGCAAUUCGGUAGAGAGAAGGGAGGGUGCAUGCUUGCAGCCUCAUUAGAUUACUCAGUUACUAUUUUAGGCUGUCUUAUUGCGCCUUCAUAGUUGGAAGUAGUAUAGAUUUUAAUCUUCUCUGUAUGAGCUUAAUAUACUUUUAUUUAGCUUCUUGCAAGCUUGAAUUUCCUGGUGCUCAAAUGCCACCUGCCACUUUUGUAGUCUCUGCUCGGAACUGUGUUUUCUUACUCUAAUUAUACAUAUACGUUCAUAUAGAGAUGGAAUCACCACCCCUCACGGUUGAAGCGACCGCUUUUACCGAGAAAAUGAUGGACAUGACUUUGGAGGAUAUAAUCAAGAUGUGAAAGAAAAAGAAUCCUGGAGGCAAGAAACCCCCUAGGCGGCCGGUAAACUCUAAGUCUGAAGGUUUAGGGUUUUCAUGCUCUCGACUCUGAUAGCUAACUCAGGAACGAACCAAUGGUAACAAUUUUCUUCAUUUAAUGGUGGAUUAAAUGAAACUAUCUUCGGUCUUUGGUACUUGCUCAACAUCUACAAUAAGUAGGUCAGUGGAACAUAUGUCCUGUCACCGUUAGAUUGGGCGAUCGAACCAUGGUACAUCAGUCACCUUCUUUAAUGAUUUUUUUGUUCUACUUACUAAUCUGCUGCUUUACUCUUCCCUGGUGUUUGUACUGACCUUUUUAGGAAAUCUUGCAGAACUGAUAUUCAAUGUAAAAUAUUCAGUGUGAUAGAAAAAAGAAGAUUAGUCGAGUAUGAUCUUUAUUUCAAUCUGCCAAUGCUCUUGCGUGUCAAUGGAUGUUUGCAAAGACAACAGAUGCCAAUGCAGACUGGCUUCUUCCUAACAACAAACCUCAACAAGCCAAGAGAGACGACAAUUGGCGACGUAGGAAAAAAGACGCAUUAAUCAAUAACGUGUGGAUUCCUGGCAGUGGCGUAGACAAGGGGCUCUAAGGAUGAGUAGUAAGAAAACCAGGCACACUAUGAGGGGGUUCCUCAAUGUGGCUAGCAGGAUACUCCCUGGUGCAAGGGGUUACCUUUUCAAAGGGAGUUCAUCUAUCUAGAGCAGACAAGAGGCGUUGCUGAGACACGCCCGACCAUAGCUACGUGAUAGACAUAUCAUGAUACAAAGGAGUGCCGAGGUAGAGGAGGAGGGAACGAAUGCUACGGUGCAGGGCCAUGAGGAGGAUGUCACAGUCAUAGAUGCUGGAGUGCAGGGCCAUGAGGCAGAGGUCGUGGAGGAUGACGAGGACAAGGAUGAGGCCAUCAAGCCUCCAGCCUUUUGACGAAGGGGCACUCGAAAGGGCCACUUCGUCCCACCUCCGUCAGCACCUGCCUAGUAAGAAGCAAGGGUUCUAAUUAUCCCAGUUGGUGAUAGGUAUUCACAUUUGGCCAUUAAUGUGUUGUUACUUAUUUCUUUAUUUUCUUGUACAUUGUAUAUAUGAUAUGCAUUUCUUGUUUUUUGUCUUGUAACCAAUGGGAGGACACGUCUUUCUAUUGUAGAGGUCACCAUAGAUAGGUUAAUCAAGUCUUAGGUUACCUCUGUCAUAUACAUUAUCCAAGAAUUUUGACUGACUCAAAAGAUGUG
Molecule: RNA transcript, 4309 nt
Organism: Zea mays
Lineage: Eukaryota; Viridiplantae; Streptophyta; Magnoliopsida; Poales; Poaceae
Gene name: lactoylglutathione lyase
Exons: 10
Source: RefSeq, a predicted model, not a curated record